RNAcentral lists this ribosomal RNA (468 nucleotides) under uncultured bacterium. Its description in RNAcentral is "partial 16S ribosomal RNA". It matches the Rfam family "Bacterial small subunit ribosomal RNA", at positions 28 to 507 of the family's 1533-position model. The record is from RNAcentral.
GAUGAACGCUGGCGGCGUGCUUAACACAUGCAAGUCGAACGGAAAGGCCCAAGCUUGCUUGGGUACUCGAGUGGCGAACGGGUGAGUAACACGUGGGUGAUCUGCCCUGCACUUCGGGAUAAGCCUGGGAAACUGGGUCUAAUACCGGAUAGGACGAUGGUUUGGAUGCCAUUGUGGAAAGUUUUUUCGGUGUGGGAUGAGCUCGCGGCCUAUCAGCUUGUUGGUGGGGUAAUGGCCUACCAAGGCGUCGACGGGUAGCCGGCCUGAGAGGGUGUACGGCCAGAUUGGAACUGAGAUACGGCCCAGACUCCUACGGGAGGCAGCAGUGGGGAAUAUUGCACAAUGGGCGCAAGCCUGAUGCAGCGACGCCGCGUGGGGGAUGACGGCCUUCGGGUUGUAAACUCCUUUCGCUAGGGACGAAGCGUUUUUGUGACGGUACCUGGAGAAGAAGCACCGGCUAACUACGUG